This 218-nucleotide unclassified non-coding RNA is filed under the name Hevea brasiliensis (rubber tree). The record is from RNAcentral. Lineage: Eukaryota; Viridiplantae; Streptophyta; Magnoliopsida; Malpighiales; Euphorbiaceae.
GCGAAAUUAAAAACAAUACCGAAUCGAAAUUUAUUUGAGGACAUAUAGUCUAUAGAGGUCUAAAUUAACAGACUAAUACCUCUUUCUGAAUCCUUUAUCUGAACCUGGUUUACCGUAAAAUACAUUGGGCCAAUCAAACUGUUUAUAUGAUACCUCAAGUAAAUUGCCAUCAGAUUUUACUGGCGAAAGCGAGUCCCUCUGUUAUCAGUUGUUUCGGG